Molecule: ribosomal RNA, 303 nt
Filed under: uncultured bacterium
Lineage: Bacteria
Description: partial 16S ribosomal RNA
Rfam family: Bacterial small subunit ribosomal RNA
Source: RNAcentral
AGCAGUAGCCGCGGGAAUACGGAGGGUGCAAGCGUUAAUCGGAAUUACUGGGCGUAAAGCGCACGCAGGCGGUCUGACAAGUCAGAUGUGAAAUCCCCGGGCUUAACCUGGGAACUGCAUUUGAAACUGUCAGGCUGGAGUCUUGUAGAGGGGGGUAGAAUUCCAGGUGUAGCGGUGAAAUGCGUAGAGAUCUGGAGGAAUACCGGUGGCGAAGGCGGCCCCCUGGACAAAGACUGACGCUCAGGUGCGAAAGCGUGGGGAGCAAACAGGAUUAGAUACCCGUGUAGUCCCUGUCUCUUAUAC